This 435-nucleotide long non-coding RNA is filed under the name Spirodela polyrhiza (greater duckweed). Its description in RNAcentral is "long non-coding RNA (SPOL_LNC001396)". The record is from RNAcentral. Lineage: Eukaryota; Viridiplantae; Streptophyta; Magnoliopsida; Alismatales; Araceae.
AUCACGUCCCUUAUGGGACGUCUGUCUCUCCGCGUGCGCCAUGUCAUAUCAGAGGAUGAAGCUCGUCUUAUGCCACCGUUCUCCUCCUCCUCCUCCUCCCAAUCGUUCAAUUCAGUGGUCGAGGUGUUGACACGGCGAGCUUAUUGGUCGCAUCAUCCAGAGAUUUUGAUUGUGGUGCAACAGAUAUCUGAUCUAUCGCGCCGCCAGGAAGCGGGUCACGCCCCCGUGCACUGAAGUGUCCUCCCUUCAUGUCCAAUCUUCUUCUUCUUCCUCCUCUUCUGCCUCGUACCUGACUAUUCUGUACAGACUGUACAAUCUUCUUCUGAGGUCCUAGUGUUCCUCCCCUGGUUUGCCCAAGGGAGAUGUUCCGUCGACAACCAUCUCAGCUGCCGUUACCACUUUCUAGCGAGAGACUUGUGGGUCUAAAUAUUUGUU